GCCAGGCAUGGUGGCACAUGCCUGUGAUCCCAAGGCCUUGGGAGGCUGAGGCAGGAGGAUUGCAAGUUCAAAGCCAGGCUCAGCAAUAGCAAGGCGCUAAGCAACUCAGUGAGAUCCUGUCUCUG
This 125-nucleotide small RNA is filed under the name Marmota monax (woodchuck). Lineage: Eukaryota; Metazoa; Chordata; Mammalia; Rodentia; Sciuridae. The record is from RNAcentral.